RNAcentral lists this ribosomal RNA (390 nucleotides) under uncultured bacterium. RNAcentral describes it as "bacterial SSU rRNA". It matches the Rfam family "Bacterial small subunit ribosomal RNA", at positions 29 to 429 of the family's 1533-position model. The record is from RNAcentral.
AUUGAACGCUGGCGGCAUGCUUUACACAUGCAAGUCGAACGGUAACAGGUUAAGCUGACGAGUGGCGAACGGGUGAGUAAUGCAUCGGAACGUGCCCGGUCGUGGGGGAUAACGCAGCGAAAGCUGCGCUAAUACCGCAUACGAUCUGAGGAUGAAAGCGGGGGACCGUAAGGCCUCGCGCGAUCGGAGCGGCCGAUGUCAGAUUAGGUAGUUGGUGGGGUAAAGGCUCACCAAGCCGACGAUCUGUAGCUGGUCUGAGAGGACGACCAGCCACACUGGGACUGAGACACGGCCCAGACUCCUACGGGAGGCAGCAGUGGGGAAUUUUGGACAAUGGGCGCAAGCCUGAUCCAGCAAUGCCGCGUGCAGGAAGAAGGCCUCGGUUGUAAC